RNAcentral lists this transfer RNA (93 nucleotides) under Deinococcus aquiradiocola. Its description in RNAcentral is "tRNA-Gly". Lineage: Bacteria; Thermotogati; Deinococcota; Deinococci; Deinococcales; Deinococcaceae. The record is from RNAcentral.
GCGCGGCCAGGCAGGUGGGCGGCCGUGAGCGUGCCGGGGUCGGUGGCGGCGAGCGCCGCCCGGAACGCGCGUUCCAGCACCGCGCGCGGCGCG